CAGUCGCCGCGGUAAUACGUAGGGUGCAAGCGUUAAUCGGAAUUACUGGGCGUAAAGCGUGCGCAGGCGGUUUGUUAAGACAGAUGUGAAAUCCCCGGGCUCAACCUGGGAACUGCAUUUGUGACUGGCAAGCUAGAGUGUGGCAGAGGGGGGUGGAAUUCCGCGUGUAGCAGUGAAAUGCGUAGAUAUGCGGAGGAACACCGGUGGCGAAGGCAGCCCCCUGGGCCAACACUGACGCUCAUGCACGAAAGCGUGGGGAGCAAACAGGAUUAGAUACCCCGGUAGUCCCUGUCUCUUAUAC
Molecule: ribosomal RNA, 301 nt
Filed under: uncultured bacterium
Lineage: Bacteria
Description: partial 16S ribosomal RNA
Rfam family: Bacterial small subunit ribosomal RNA
Source: RNAcentral